GCAGCCCGCGCCUUCGGGGCGCCCCAGCUCACGCGCGGCCCACAGGCGUCCGCGCUACAAGCCCUCCCUCCCCGCCCAGAGCAUAGAGGCCUGACGGACAACUUGGGGGUUCCCCUAAGAUGCCUCCUGCCCGGGGCCCAUUUGAUCCGUCUCCUGACUCAGCAACUGUUCCACCACCCGAGGCCAAGUGGCUGUUCUUAAGCUUGAAGACCAGAGACAAGUGGGCAUGAUUCCCCAAAUGGGCAGCAGGUUAAAAUCAGAAUGAGUUCAGCCACAAGAAACAUUGGUAGAGAGAGAAGAGUUUUAGAAAAGUUCUGGGACUUGAGGAAAAGAGAUGACAGAGAAAGACCUCCAUAGAGAAUGAGAGCAUCAGUCAACCACAAAGCACAAGGCACAGAGGCUGUCCUCAAAAGAACGAUGGAGUCCAUGAAGGGAAUCCCUGUGGCUUCGAAAGGGUGACAUCUGACACUGCACACACACGGAGGAAGGGACAUGUGAGCACGCAGCAAGAAGACCAUUUGCAAGCCAGGAAGAGGGCUCUCACAAGAUCCCAAUCAUGCUGGCGCUCUGAUCUCUUCCAACCUCUCGAACUGUGAGAAAAUAAAUCUCUAUUGUAUCGCCACCCAGUCUAUGGUGUUAUGGUAGUGAAAACAGAUGAAGACAUGUGCUCCCAUGUAUUUGGGCUACUUUAAGAAGGACAUUUAUUAGACUGUGAAGUUUGAAGCCAGUAAUGGGUGAGAUG
Leopardus geoffroyi (Geoffroy's cat) is the source of this 742-nucleotide long non-coding RNA. RefSeq lists it as uncharacterized. The record is from RefSeq and is a predicted model, not a curated record. Lineage: Eukaryota; Metazoa; Chordata; Mammalia; Carnivora; Felidae. The transcript has 4 exons.